This 869-nucleotide ribosomal RNA is filed under the name uncultured bacterium. RNAcentral's name for it is "bacterial SSU rRNA". It matches the Rfam family "Bacterial small subunit ribosomal RNA", at positions 8 to 916 of the family's 1533-position model. The record is from RNAcentral.
AGAGUUUGAUCCUGGCUCAGAAUGAACGCUAUAGUUCUACGUUACACAUGCGAGUUGAACAAAAUACAAUAUAGUUUGAAAGUAGCGAACGGGUGAAUAAUGUAGUUGAAAACUAUCUGAUAAUUCGGGACAAUCACCAGGAGUGUGACCAAUACCGAAUAAAAAAUAAAGAUUGAUCGUUAUCAGAAGUGCAACUAUCAGAUUAAGUUGAGAAGUUGGUGAGGUAAUGGCUUACCAAUCUUAUGAUCUGUAGCUGGAUUGGGAGAUCGAUCAGCCACAUUUGAACUGAGAUAAGGUCAAAUCUCCAGCAUUGGAGGCAGCAGUGGGGAAUCUUGGGCAAUGGGCGAAAGCCUGACCCAGUGAGAAUUGGAGCGUGAUGAAGGCAUAAUGUUUGUAAAGCGCAAAGGGCCUUAUGAAAUGAUGCCAUAAUAAGGAAUCAAGUACUGACUAAGUUCGUGCCAGCAGUCGCGGUAAUACGAACAGUGCAAGCGUUAUUCGGAUUUAUUGGGUGUAAAGGGUAUGUAGGUGGCCGUUUAAAAAAAGUGCGAAAUGCUAGGGUUAUAACCUUAGAAUUGUUCUUUUAGAUUACUCGGCUUUGAGUUAAGGAGAGGUUAGAAGAAAUUCUAGUGUAGGUCUUAAAUUCUUCAAUAUUAGAAUGAAUACCAAUGGCGAAAGCAUCUUUCUGGCCUUAACUGACGUUGAUAUACGGAAGCUUGGGGAGCAAACGGGAUUAGAGACCCCGGUAGUCCAAGCCGUCAACGAUGACCAUUAAAAUUUGGGACUUAAGUGUUUUAGAUAUUACAGCUAACGCGUUAAAUGGUCCACCUGGGGUAUACGAUCGCAAGGUUGAAACUCAAAUGAAUUGACGG